AGAGGAACAUUUACAGAGCACGG
RNAcentral lists this non-coding RNA (23 nucleotides) under Cricetulus griseus (Chinese hamster). Lineage: Eukaryota; Metazoa; Chordata; Mammalia; Rodentia; Cricetidae. The record is from RNAcentral.